This 497-nucleotide ribosomal RNA is filed under the name uncultured bacterium. RNAcentral's name for it is "partial 16S ribosomal RNA". It matches the Rfam family "Bacterial small subunit ribosomal RNA", at positions 28 to 507 of the family's 1533-position model. The record is from RNAcentral.
GACGAACGCUGGCGGCGUGCCUAAUACAUGCAAGUUGAGCGCUGAAGGUUGGUACUUGUACCAACUGGAUGAGCAGCGAACGGGUGAGUAACGCGUGGGGAAUCUGCCUUUGAGCGGGGGACAACAUUUGGAAACGAAUGCUAAUACCGCAUAAAAACUUUAAACACAAGUUUUAAGUUUGAAAGAUGCAAUUGCAUCACUCAAAGAUGAUCCCGCGUUGUAUUAGCUAGUUGGUGAGGUAAAGGCUCACCAAGGCGAUGAUACAUAGCCGACCUGAGAGGGUGAUCGGCCACAUUGGGAAUGAGACACGGCCCAAACUCCUACGGGAGGCAGCAGUAGGGAAUCUUCGGCAAUGGACGAAAGUCUGACCGGGCAACGCCGCGUGAGUGAAGAAGGUUUUCGGAUCGUAAAACUCUGUCGGUAGAGAAGAACGUUGGUGAGAGUGGAAAGCUCAUCAAGUGACGGUAACUACCCAGAAAGGGACGGCUAACUACGUG